CACGGGGGGAGCAAGCGUUGUUCGGAUUCAUUGGGCGUAAAGGGCUCGUAGGUGGCUUUGUAAGUCGAAUGUGAAAGCCCCCGGCUCAACUGGGGAGGGUCAUUCGAUACUGUUCGACUCGAAGGCAGGAGAGGGAAGUGGAAUUCCGGGUGUAGUGGUGAAAUGCGUAGAUAUCCGGAGGAACACCAGUGGCGAAGGCGACUUUCUGGCCUGUUCUUGACGCUGAGGCGCGAAAGCUAGGGGAGCAAACGGG
Molecule: ribosomal RNA, 253 nt
Filed under: uncultured bacterium
Lineage: Bacteria
Description: partial 16S ribosomal RNA
Rfam family: Bacterial small subunit ribosomal RNA
Source: RNAcentral